AGUGAACGCUGGCGGUAGGCCUAACACAUGCAAGUCGAACGGCAGCACAGUAAGAGCUUGCUCUUACGGGUGGCGAGUGGCGGACGGGUGAGGAAUACAUCGGAAUCUACUUUUUCGUGGGGGAUAACGUAGGGAAACUUACGCUAAUACCGCAUACGACCUACGGGUGAAAGCAGGGGAUCUUCGGACCUUGCGCGAUUGAAUGAGCCGAUGUCGGAUUAGCUAGUUGGCGGGGUAAAGGCCCACCAAGGCGACGAUCCGUAGCUGGUCUGAGAGGAUGAUCAGCCACACUGGAACUGAGACACGGUCCAGACACCUACGGGAGGCAGCAGUGGGGAAUAUUGGACAAUGGGCGCAAGCCUGAUCCAGCCAUACCGCGUGGGUGAAGAAGGCCUUCGGGUUGUAAAGCCCUUUUGUUGGGAAAGAAAAGCAGCAGGUUAAGACCCCGCUGUUCUGACGGGACCCAAAGAAUAAGCACCGGCUAACUUCGU
RNAcentral lists this ribosomal RNA (491 nucleotides) under uncultured bacterium. Its description in RNAcentral is "partial 16S ribosomal RNA". It matches the Rfam family "Bacterial small subunit ribosomal RNA", at positions 29 to 506 of the family's 1533-position model. The record is from RNAcentral.